Molecule: ribosomal RNA, 472 nt
Filed under: uncultured bacterium
Lineage: Bacteria
Description: bacterial SSU rRNA
Rfam family: Bacterial small subunit ribosomal RNA
Source: RNAcentral
AACGAACGCUGGCGGCAGGCUUAACACAUGCAAGUCGAACGCACCGCAAGGUGAGUGGCAGACGGGUGAGUAACGCGUGGGAACGUGCCCUUCAGUUCGGAAUAACCCAGGGAAACUUGGGCUAAUACCGGAUACGUGCGAGAGCAGAAAGAUUUAUCGCUGAAGGAUCGGCCCGCGUCUGAUUAGCUAGUUGGUGGGGUAAUGGCCCACCAAGGCGACGAUCAGUAGCNGGUCUGAGAGGAUGAUCAGCCACAUUGGGACUGAGACACGGCCCAAACUCCUACGGGAGGCAGCAGUGGGGAAUUUUGCGCAAUGGGCUAACGCCUGACGCAGCAACGCCGCGUGGAGGAUGAAGGUCCUUGGAUUGUAAACUCCUGUCAGCAGGGAAAAAGCGACUUGACCUCAUACGUCAGGGAGUUGAUUGUACCUGCAGAGGAAGCCCGGCUAACUCUGUGCCAGCCGCCGCCGUAAC